CUUGGUCAUUUAGAGGAAGUAAAAGUCGUAACAAGGUCUCCGUUGGUGAACCAGCGGAGGGAUCAUUACAGAGUUGCAAAACUCCCUAAACCAUUGUGAACGUUACCUAAACCGUUGCUUCGGCGGGCGGCCCGGGUCCUUCCCGGCGCCCCUCGGCCCUCGCGGGCGCCCGCCGGAGGUAAACCAAACUAUUGCAUUGUAUGGCCUCUCUGAGUCUUCUGUACUGAAUAAGUCAAAACUUUCAACAACGGAUCUCUUGGUUCUGGCAUCGAUGAAGAACGCAGCGAAAUGCGAUAAGUAAUGUGAAUUGCAGAAUUCAGUGAAUCAUCGAAUCUUUGAACGCACAUUGCGCCCGCCAGUAUUCUGGCGGGCAUGCCUGUUCGAGCGUCAUUUCAACCAUCAAGCCCCGGGCUUGUGUUGGGGACCUGCGGCUGCCGCAGGCCCUGAAAUGCAGUGGCGGGCUCGCUGUCACUCCGAGCGUAGUAGUUACAUCUCGCUCUGGGCGUGCUGCGGGUUCCGGCCGUUAAAAGCCUUAUUUACCCAAGGUUGACCUCGGAUCAGGUAGGAAGACCCGCUGAACUUAAGCAUAUCAAUAAGCGGAGGA
Molecule: small RNA, 604 nt
Filed under: uncultured fungus
Lineage: Eukaryota; Fungi
Description: eukaryotic LSU rRNA
Rfam family: 5.8S ribosomal RNA (bases 237-390)
Source: RNAcentral